This is a long non-coding RNA of Thalassophryne amazonica, 86 nucleotides long. RefSeq lists it as uncharacterized. The transcript has 3 exons. The record is from RefSeq and is a predicted model, not a curated record. NCBI's taxonomy places the organism in Eukaryota, Metazoa, Chordata, Actinopteri, Batrachoidiformes, Batrachoididae.
CUAUUUGAAGAGGUCACAAGGUCACAUUCUGUUUCCUAUUUUUAUGCUCAUAAGGCUGAGGGUAUCUUAGCAUUCUGUUAUAUUUU